Molecule: ribosomal RNA, 497 nt
Filed under: uncultured bacterium
Lineage: Bacteria
Description: partial 16S ribosomal RNA
Rfam family: Bacterial small subunit ribosomal RNA
Source: RNAcentral
GAUGAACGCUGGCGGCGUGCCUAAUACAUGCACGUCGAGCGAACGGACGAGAAGCUUGCUUUUCUGAUGUUAGCGGCGGACGGGUGAGUAACACGUGGAUAACCUACCUAUAAGACUGGGAUAACUUCGGGAAACCGGAGCUAAUACCGGAUAAUAUUUUGAACCGCAUGGUUCAAAAGUGAAAGACGGUCUUGCUGUCACUUAUAGAUGGAUCCGCGCUGCAUUAGCUAGUUGGUAAGGUAACGGCUUACCAAGGCAACGAUGCAUAGCCGACCUGAGAGGGUGAUCGGCCACACUGGAACUGAGACACGGUCCAGACUCCUACGGGAGGCAGCAGUAGGGAAUCUUCCGCAAUGGGCGAAAGCCUGACGGAGCAACGCCGCGUGAGUGAUGAAGGUCUUCGGAUCGUAAAACUCUGUUAUUAGGGAAGAACAUAUGUGUAAGUAACUGUGCACAUCUUGACGGUACCUAAUCAGAAAGCCACGGCUAACUACGUG